UCUUAGUCAAAAUAUACGGUCAACUAUUUUAAAAUAGCGAUGGACAGUGACUCUUUGUCCGUCGCUUUUUGGUCAAAAUGGUUGGUCAACUUUUUAAAAGAAAAGCGACAGAUGGGAAGACGUUGUCGGCUGUUUUUCAUUAAAUAUUUCAAAUGACAGACUCGAUUUUUCCCAUUUUCCUCUCUUCCUUCUCUCUUCUUUCUUUCUUCCUUCUCUUGAAGUAUUCCGCCACUACCAUCAUCUCUUGCCACCGCCGCUGUUAUCGCUAGUUGCUGCCAUCGUAGCUUCCAGCAAUCUCCAUUGUCUCUUUCUCCAUUAAUUUAAGGUGACAUCCUAUAAAGGAUGGUGCUCGGGCUUUAAAGACUGUAUUAGAAAACUCUAUACACAGGCUUAUCACUCUUUAAGAGAGAUUCCAAACAGUAUAUACCAGACAAUGUUUAAUGAAUACUGUGUGUAGUUGGGAGUUAAGGUACAAAUUGGUCAUUGGGACCACAUUUGAGAGGAGGGAAUUCGCGAGACUAUCUGGAUGGAUAAAUAAAGUUUGGGAUAGUGAUGAACGUCCGGAUUGGAUGUUACCUCAUGUUUUAGAUGAUUUGCGUCUAUAUUGGAACAUUGAUAAGGCAAUGUACGAAAAAGCCAAAAAGGCUAGAGGCACUCUUGAGGGUGGCUCGUUGCACACAUGAGGUGCAAAGACUGUUGGAACAAUUACAAGACAGAGGGAAAAAGAAUUGGGGCACCCUCCCGUUGAACCAGCGAUUUUAGAGAAGACUCAUGUAAAUAAAAAAGAAAAUGAGUCAGAUCCGAAUAUAUAUAUAUAUAUAUAUAUAUAUAUAUAUAUAUAUAUAUUGAAUAUAUUUAUGAUAUGUAUAUACAUUGAUGCCAAUUUUUCUAUUGAAUAUGCAAAAUGAGUUUCAUCAGUACGUCGCUCAGAAUCUAGAUAAUUUAGUCAAAACGACACCAAAACUGGCCACCCAAAUUUGGAAAGAAAAGUGGUAGAGGGAAUACACAAGGGUAAAGUCUAUGUUGUAGGCUCUCGAAACGAUGUAAUACGAUUUCAGUCAGGCUUAGAAGGUAUAGGAUCGUUACAUCAAGUCGAAACACUUGAAGGUGUUCAGAUUAUUGUUAUGUCAACUCAAAUAGCACAACAUACACGACAUUGGCAGAGAGUCGGAGCGGACAAAAGCAGUUUAACAAUAAAGUACGAGUGAGAUCGUUCAGGAGAUCAAACAACUGGUGUUGUACAUCGCUCAUCGACCUACUACAUCUUCUCCCGCCAAGGACACCGACAAUGAUAAUGACGAGGAUGAUUAUUUUGUAGAUUGCAAUCCCUAGUUUAGGUAUCUUUCAUGACUUUUUGAAACUAAUUUUGAAUAAGUUUAUAAGUUUUUAAUUUGUCAUUUAGAUAUUUUUGAAUAUUGAUUUAAGUUUUAUGUUUUAUAUGUUAUGUGAUGUUAUUGUUUGA
Solanum lycopersicum (tomato) is the source of this 1462-nucleotide non-coding RNA. The record is from RefSeq and is a predicted model, not a curated record. NCBI's taxonomy places the organism in Eukaryota, Viridiplantae, Streptophyta, Magnoliopsida, Solanales, Solanaceae.